CUCUUGAGCCACACGUGAUUUCUUUAUAUUUUGGUUCUAAGCCGCCAGAAUUUCUUGUAAAGCAUGUUCUUUUUAUACUGGUCUUGAGCAACUGUUCUUCAGAUGAAUGCAAAUUUAAUGUUUCUGGUUGAAAGCGUCAUCAGUAUGCACAAAGGAGGUGUGACAGGGCAGCAUGGAGUGUCAGGGCUAUGGCAUCAUCAGUGGACCUGUUGUGGCGGUCCACCUGUUGUGGCGGUCCAACAUGAAAAUGAGGAGACAAACACACCGAGAAUGAACAGAGACCAUCAAGGCACUGAUAGCCAAAAAACA
Molecule: long non-coding RNA, 309 nt
Organism: Oreochromis aureus
Lineage: Eukaryota; Metazoa; Chordata; Actinopteri; Cichliformes; Cichlidae
Source: Ensembl